GUAUUGAUUUCCUUUGAAGGAGAUGCGCGGAUUCAGAGGCUGGAGGGGUCACGUCCAUGGCUAGUGGUGUCACAGCCAAUUAGAAUUAAUCCCAAAUUUAAUUUCUUUUGGUAGAUGCAUAAGUGAUCACAUGAUGUUAGAUAAAAUUAUGUUUUAUUAUUUUUCCUUUGCUUUAAAGUAUUUUAAAUUACAAUUUGAGUUGUUUUUCAUUUUCUUUAUUUAGUGUUGAAUUUUAAUAGUUUCAAUUGUGUUUGGAUAUUUACCUUUUGCAUUGUUUAGUUUAAUUUAUCUGUUCAUCAUGUUGUCUAUUAUGUUCGGUUUAAUGUUCCCGUUCACCGUGUUGUCUGUUCUCUUCGAUUAUGUUAAUUUAAUUGUGAUGUUGGCUUAGGUUAGUUAGUUGGUCAUUAAUAAAAUUACUUUGUUUCCUUGAAAUUUCUUGGACUGUUCUUGUGUUUAUUCUGCUCUCCC
This 468-nucleotide long non-coding RNA is filed under the name Vigna radiata. RNAcentral's name for it is "long non-coding RNA (VRAD_LNC017164)". The record is from RNAcentral. Lineage: Eukaryota; Viridiplantae; Streptophyta; Magnoliopsida; Fabales; Fabaceae.